UACGUAGGGUGCGAGCGUUAAUCGGAAUUACUGGGCGUAAAGCGUGCGCAGGCGGUUUUGUAAGACAGAGGUGAAAUCCCCGGGCUCAACCUGGGAACUGCCUUUGUGACUGCAAGGCUAGAGUACGGCAGAGGGGGAUGGAAUUCCGCGUGUAGCAGUGAAAUGCGUAGAUAUGCGGAGGAACACCGAUGGCGAAGGCAAUCCCCUGGGCCUGUACUGACGCUCAUGCACGAAAGCGUGGGGAGCAAACAGG
RNAcentral lists this ribosomal RNA (253 nucleotides) under Comamonadaceae bacterium. RNAcentral describes it as "partial 16S ribosomal RNA". It matches the Rfam family "Bacterial small subunit ribosomal RNA", at positions 524 to 776 of the family's 1533-position model. Lineage: Bacteria; Pseudomonadati; Pseudomonadota; Betaproteobacteria; Burkholderiales; Comamonadaceae. RNAcentral also lists the same sequence under 1 other name. The record is from RNAcentral.